Molecule: ribosomal RNA, 253 nt
Filed under: uncultured bacterium
Lineage: Bacteria
Description: partial 16S ribosomal RNA
Rfam family: Bacterial small subunit ribosomal RNA
Source: RNAcentral
UACGGGGGGUGCGAGCGUUGUCCGGAAUCACUGGGCGUAAAGGGCGCGUAGGUGGUUUGAUAAGGGUGUGGUGAAAGUCCGGGGCUCAACCCCGGAUCUGCCGUGCCGACUGUCAAACUCGAGGACUGUAGAGGCAGACGGAAUUCCGGGUGUAGCGGUGGAAUGCGUAGAGAUCCGGAGGAAGACCGGUGGCGAAGGCGGCUAUCUGGACAGAGUCUGACGCUGAGGCGCGAAAGCUAGGGGAGCAAACAGG